Molecule: ribosomal RNA, 465 nt
Filed under: uncultured bacterium
Lineage: Bacteria
Description: partial 16S ribosomal RNA
Rfam family: Bacterial small subunit ribosomal RNA
Source: RNAcentral
CUACGGGCUGCUGCAGUGAGGAAUUUUGCGCAAUGGGGGGAACCCUGACGCAGCAACGCCGUGUGAGUGAAGAAGGCCUUUGGGUCGUAAAGCUCUGUCAACUGGGAAGAAGUUACUGUGCUUUAAUAGAGUGCAGUAUUGACGGUACCAGUGGAGGAAGCGUCGGCUAACUCCGUGCCAGCAGCCGCGGUAACACGGGGGACGCAAGCGUUAUUCGGAAUUAUUGGGCGUAAAGGGCGCGUAGGCGGUCUUGUCGGUCAGGUGUGAAAGCCCGGGGCUCAACCCCGGACGUGCACUUGAAACAGCAAGACUUGAGUACGGGAGAGGAAAGCGGAAUUCCUGGUGUAGAGGUGAAAUUCGUAGAUAUCAGGAGGAACACCGAUGGCGAAGGCAGCUUUCUGGACCGAAACUGACGCUGAGGCGCGAAGGCGUGGGUAGCGAACGGGAUUAGAUACCCCUGUAGUC